GGCUUAGUGGUCUAGUGGCAUGAUUCCCUGUUAGGGUCGGGGAGGUCCCGGUUUCGAUUACCGGCUGAGCCC
This 72-nucleotide transfer RNA is filed under the name Polymyxa betae. RNAcentral's name for it is "tRNA-Pro". The record is from RNAcentral. Lineage: Eukaryota; Endomyxa; Phytomyxea; Plasmodiophorida; Plasmodiophoridae.